Molecule: ribosomal RNA, 474 nt
Filed under: uncultured bacterium
Lineage: Bacteria
Description: bacterial SSU rRNA
Rfam family: Bacterial small subunit ribosomal RNA
Source: RNAcentral
AAUAAACGCUGGCGGCGUGCCUAACACAUGCAAGUCGAGCGAGAAAGCUCCUUCGGGAGUUAGUAAAGCGGCGAACGGGUGAGCAACACGUGAGAAUCUACCCUUUAGUGAAGAAUACCCUCGAGAAAUCGAGGCUAAUACUGCAUACGUCCCUUCGGGGAGAAAGAUGGCCUCUUUGCUAUCGCUAAAGGAUGAGCUUGCGUACUAUUAGCUAGUUGGCGGGGUAAAGGCCCACCAAGGCAAUGAUGGUUAACCGGCCUGAGAGGGUGUACGGUCACACUGGAACUUAGACACGGUCCAGACUCCUACGGGAGGCAGCAGUGAGGAAUCUUGCGCAAUGGGCGAAAGCCUGACGCAGCGACGCCGCGUGGAGGAUGACGGUUUUCGGAUUGUAAACUCCUGUUAAGCGGGAAGAAAGCCUUGUUUCUAAUACAAGCAAGGUAUGACGGUACCGCUAGAGAAAGCACCGGCUAA